Molecule: ribosomal RNA, 485 nt
Filed under: uncultured bacterium
Lineage: Bacteria
Description: partial 16S ribosomal RNA
Rfam family: Bacterial small subunit ribosomal RNA
Source: RNAcentral
AUUGAACGCUGGCGGCAGGCUUAACACAUGCAAGUCGAGCGGGGAAAGGUAGCUUGCUACCUGACCUAGCGGCGGACGGGUGAGUAAUGCUUAGGAAUCUGCCUAUUAGUGGGGGACAACAUCUCGAAAGGGAUGCUAAUACCGCAUACGUCCUACGGGAGAAAGCAGGUGACCUUCGGGCCUUGCGCUAAUAGAUGAGCCUAAGUCGGAUUAGCUAGUUGGUGGGGUAAAGGCCUACCAAGGCGACGAUCUGUAGCGGGUCUGAGAGGAUGAUCCGCCACACUGGGACUGAGACACGGCCCAGACUCCUACGGGAGGCAGCAGUGGGGAAUCUUGGACAAUGGGGGGAAACCUGAUCCAGCCAUGCCGCGUGUGUGAAGAAGGCCUUUGGGUUGUAAAGCACUUUAAGCGGGGAGGAGGCUACCGAGAUUAAUACUCUUGGAUAGUGGACGUUACUCGCAGAAUAAGCACCGGCUAACUCUGUG